RNAcentral lists this ribosomal RNA (53 nucleotides) under Prunus dulcis (almond). Its description in RNAcentral is "rRNA LSU_rRNA_bacteria". Lineage: Eukaryota; Viridiplantae; Streptophyta; Magnoliopsida; Rosales; Rosaceae. The record is from RNAcentral.
UGUUUACCAAAAACAUGGGUCUUUGUGAAGUCGUAAGAUCAUGUAUGAGGGCU